This 182-nucleotide non-coding RNA is filed under the name Chromatiales bacterium. Its description in RNAcentral is "6S RNA". It matches the Rfam family "6S / SsrS RNA". Rfam says of the family: E. coli 6S RNA was the first non coding RNA to be sequenced, but its function was unknown until recently. It consists of 184 nucleotides that fold into an extended hairpin structure with a large single-stranded internal bulge. Lineage: Bacteria; Pseudomonadati; Pseudomonadota; Gammaproteobacteria; Chromatiales. The record is from RNAcentral.
UGCCUCCUGCGGUGUUCGAUAAGGACCUGGAUCCCUCGACCCUAACUAUUAGAUCGGGGUUAUGUACUGCAGAAAGUUUUGUGCAUUACCGCGUUAAGCGGGCAGCCUAUACUCCCUGCGACCGACCCCACUUGUUGCUCCGGUUCGAGAGCAACGGUUCUACCGGCACAGGCGGGAGGCAC